GUCUGAGGUAAGACAUCCAAGAAGGAACUGGCCCAUGGAGAAAAGGCAAACACUUUUUGGCCUUUGCUUCCUGAUUCAUAAAUAUGAGGAAACUGAGGCAAGCAGAGAUACAUGGCUUAUCUAGGUCACCUAGAUAGUAAGUGCCAGAGGCCAGAGUUGAACUCAGGAAGAUGAAUCUAGGCCUGGUGCAGGAUCCACUGAGCUAUCUAGCUGCCAGUGCAUUGUAGUAGGUGACUAAUAAAUGCUUGUAUCCUACUUUCUUGUGGCUG
RNAcentral lists this long non-coding RNA (269 nucleotides) under Monodelphis domestica (gray short-tailed opossum). RNAcentral's name for it is "lncRNA (ENSMODG00000041766.1)". The record is from RNAcentral. Lineage: Eukaryota; Metazoa; Chordata; Mammalia; Didelphimorphia; Didelphidae.